GCUCCACAGUGGCUGGGAAAUCUGCUGCAUGUCCAAAUGACAGCCUAAAGACCUCAGCGCAUUGCACCAUGCAAACAUGGGAGUUUCAGUCAAAGACCACGGGCAUAUGCAGAGAAGAGUCAAAGGUUUUCUUCAAAUGAUAGGAGGAGGAGGAGAGAACUAUUAUGGCUUUUUUUAUAGCAUAAUAAAACACAAUGAAAUUGCACAAAAUUAUGAGUUCUGAUCUCAAAAUUGUAUCUUUGGCUACCUGGCAAAAAAGCUUCAGCUUUACCACAAGCAACAGUCCCUGGAGAUAGGCUAGAGAUAGCAGAGCAGAACAGCAGGUGAAAAGGAGUGGACUGUUGCCAGAGAGGUGAUACUGGACACCACACAAACCUUCUUGGUAUGCUUAGGUGAAGCCAAGAAGGUGUCUCAUUGCCUGUCCUCAAGCUCCAAAGAAGCAGAAGUCUGCUUGGUUUAGGCACCAGGCUAGCUGCCUGGGAUCCUGGCAGACAUGGUGGCAGGGAAGUGGGCGAGCUGCAGGAGAAGAGCAUUAGGCUAAAUGUGCUGCCUGGAUGGCCCAGACCUCAGGAAUUACCCAGAGUUCAGAAGUGACAGAGACCUAAGAAAAGCUAGCAAAGCAGCCUUGCCUGAAUCUCUGCUGAGGUUCAGAGGAGCCCAGAAGUUUUUAUCAGCCAGUGGAACAGGCUGCCGAGGGAAGUGGCAGAGUCACCAUUCCUCGAGGUGUUUGACAGACAUGUAGAUGAGGUUCUUAGGGACAUGGUUUGGUGCCAGUAUUAGGUUAAUGGUUGGACUCGAUGAUCUCGAGGGUGUCUUCCAACUAAAAUGAUUCUAUGAUUCUAUUUUCUGGUGUCUUGGUGUUUUUCUUCACAGGCUCUGAAACCAGGGAGGGGCUGUACCCUGCUCUCCUCCGCUGCAGGACUCUGCAGUUUGCGGACACACGACUGCACAUGAUUGACAUAGACAUCCAUCCACUAGAAAGCCUUAGCAGCAUGCUCAGCAAUUGCAUUGAGAUUGAAGUAUCUGCAGUGCUGUUGCUCGCAGCAGCUCAAGGGUGACCAGCUCCUCUGAACAGUGCUUGGAGGUCGACGAGUGCUCAGACUUGCUCUUGGGACUACGGGGCAGCAGAAACAGAUGAAUGAAGACAGGGGAACAAGUCUAUGAAUCAGCCUCAGGGCACAGGGCGUUGUGGAACAAAAUGGGUCUGGACUGACACUGGCAUGCUUGUCGAGGAGAUAGACGCCUGUCUGGGUGCAGUGGAAAAAACUUUCUGAGUGGAGUGCUCAUGAACUAUUUUAAGGUUGCGGUGCUGUUCAUCUUACAAAGAUAACGCCUUAUGAGAAGAGGUUGGGUGAAGCAGCACUCCCUGCAGAGGGUACCCAGGGACGGAUGGGCUCCUGGUGCAGGUUCACCUUUUGUUAAUUUCCAACAAAUUCAGUAGCACACAAAACCAGAAAAGAGGAGAUUUCUGUCAUUUUGCUGCUCAUGGAACUGACUUCUCAUCUCGAUUAGAGAACUAUUUGUAUAACUGUACGGGAGGAAAAACCCGCUCAAUACCUCUCUGUGCUGAUUGCUGUCUAUAAAAAGAUCUCAACAACCUCUCCUGUGAAAAGCGCUCACACCUCCACGCUGCAGCAUGCCUUUGAUGCUUUAGCAAGUGGGUUCUCCUCAGGCUACUGAAGCGCCUUUCCUUUGUCUUCUGCACUGCUCAGCUCCUGCCAGCUCGCACUUGGCGGAGGUGAACCCCCUAGGUAGGUCAGGAGCCCUCACCUCAGUCUUCCUAUGCCUUCUCAUUACCUUUCCUUUUUGGAAGCAAUAAGUUAAGACUCACAUUCUACUUUAGAGGAAUAAACCAAACCUUUGUCAGAGCUAGAGUUUCAUGCUGAGAUUAACAUUUAUCCUCUUUGGGGACAUGUGUGCUGCUAUGACAGCCACAUCCACAGCUGAGAUCCCCCCAAGAGUACCAUGCUCACAAGAAAUAGGAUGCUGAAAUCACAGCCUUCUCAAGGGUCACCCACUCCCUCUCCACUGAGGCAAAAUCAGGCAGAUCAAAUAUUUACUAGAAAUGGAUCCAGUGAAGGCUCCUCACCACCCUCAGCCACUCAGUGCUUCUCCCUUCUCAUCAUCAGAAAUCUGCUUCCCAGUGUAAGCUUGAACCUCUCAAUACUUCCAACAUUUGCAAGCACAUUAAAGAAAUUGUUUCCCUCCUGUUAAUAGCACUGAUGGAAGGAAUUAUAUGUUGUCUCCUUCAGACCUGAUCUUCCAUCCUCUUCUCAUGGCUCACAUGUUUUAGAUGUCUGCUGCUGCCUGUGCUCUUCUGCAGCCCAUGUCUUUGCCUUGAAGUCAAUGCUAUGCUUACCUGAGGACUGCAAUAAUCCUGCAAGGGCUUUUUCUACCUGAUAUCAAAGACAAAUUGUUCAAAUUUUGAUCCCAUUGUAAGGACCAGCCUACCUUUUUCACAAAAGCUGGAGUCAGCAAGAGAGAUUUAAGUUAAGCAGCAUUUUUCCUGUUACCUAAGACCUUUUUACUUUGGACUGGGUGUAAAAUUAGUUCCACAGUUAUCACUAAAAUAAUGUAAUGCUUCUACCCAGAUUAGCAAAAAAUGCCUGAUUAGUCCCCUAAAAACUCCUAAGUGCCUAAAAGUUGUGGUUGUAGCUCACAGAGGCUUUGGAUCCAGCUCCAUAACAAACUGCAGUAGACAUCCUACCCUAUUGCCUCUGAUUGCUUUUGGAUCAUUCCCCGCAACUCCGAUUUGAUUUGAUCUAACUAUAGCUCGCUGGGAAAUGACAAUUCAUGGUUAGGCAAUUUUCAAAGUCUAAUUGCUCCAGAGUUUUCUCAGUACUUCAGAAUUUCUUAAUUGUAUUAGCCAAGGUGAGGAUAAUUGCUGCUUUCAUAUCCUUGAAACUUCUCAUACAAAAGAGGCUUAUGCAAGAAUCUGCUCAUUCUCUUCAAUAAAUGAUCUCUCUGUUAUUAAGGAGUGUGCAUUGGGGGACUGCUGGGAAGCAUUCCGCUGCACCAUUAUGUACUUGAACAAAACCUGAAACUUGCAGAUACAAGACUAAAUUAUAGUCUGGGGCAAUCAUCAGAACACACUUUUUUGUUGUUUGUUUUUUUUUUUUUCCCUGGAGGUUGCUUUUUCAGAAGAAACAGCCCAAGUCUACAAAUAACCCAGUAUUUUGCACUUUGGGGAUCUUCUGGGUGUGUGAAACCUCCUAUUUAUAUGUUGCUGGUGCCCUGACAUUGCUCCUCAUCACAGAUACUGAUGGUGUUCCAUUUAAAACUAAAAGUCUGGGCCAGUCAGUGGCCUUAUUUUUGCUUUGUUCAUGAAAUCUUCAAGCAGGGACCAUUUCAUCCCGUUUUUUUCACAGCUUCAGGACCUUGAGCAAUAUGUAGGGCUUCUAGAUGUCUGGGUAUUGUAGCUGUGUGCUUGUGCCUGAAGUGCAAUAAAGUCACUCCAGCAGAGAAUUAGGCAUAAUGUUCUUACAUAAGCUCCAGCAAUUAAAUGUAAACAUAUGCAUGCACAAUCAAAUGCCAUGUACCAGUUCUGACACUACAACCAUUAUAAAAAAAAAAAAAAAAAGAAGAAGAUAAGAUGAACCAUGUAUUUUCUAUCACACCAAUUCAAUAGACUGAAUGUGGGAAAGAGGCAUUCCAUGAGUCAAACACUUAAUCCAAGAAGUAUGUUUUACACAAAUUGCUGAUAAGGUAAGCAAAUUUCACAGCCUGUUCCGGGAAAAUUAUACAUUUCAUGGUGCUUUAUAGAAGACAAGAAAUCCUACUGAAAUCCUGAAAAAAUAUGUAUACAAGUUAAGGUGGAUGAUGGAAACGAUCCAUGAUUUUGGAUGCAGAAUAAGUGAAAUUAACAUCUCCUAAGGAUAAUAGCAAGUAUCAUAGAGGUUUUACACAGAAUCCUUGGUAAGAAGUAAUCUUAUCAUAAUUACAGGACCAAUUUCUCUUGCACUGCAUGAAAUAAUGCUCAGAAAUGGCCUAAAUAUUUCUUUCAGUUGCUAGACAAAUUUAGGUAAUAAAUAAGAUGGAGACUAACAAUGAGCAUUUGAAGGACUGUGAGAAUAUCAGAACUUCCAGGUA
This is a long non-coding RNA of Columba livia (rock pigeon), 4089 nucleotides long. RefSeq lists it as uncharacterized. Lineage: Eukaryota; Metazoa; Chordata; Aves; Columbiformes; Columbidae. The record is from RefSeq and is a predicted model, not a curated record. The transcript has 3 exons.